GAGGAAUUCGUGGGUAACCUGCCCAUCAGAGGGGGAUAACAUUCGGAAACGGAUGCUAAAACCGCAUAGGUUCUUUAGUCGCAUGACUGAAGAAGGAAAAGAGGCUUCGGCUUCUGCUGAUGGAUGGACCCGCGGUGCAUUAGCUAGUUGGUGAGGUAACGGCUCACCAAGGCCGUGAUGCAUAGCCGACCUGAGAGGGUGAUCGGCCACAUUGGGACUGAGACACGGCCCAAACUCCUACGGGAGGCAGCAGUAGGGAAUCUUCCGCAAUGGACGCAAGUCUGACGGAGCAACGCCGCGUGAGUGAAGAAGGAUUUCGGUUCGUAAAACUCUGUUGUUAGAGAAGAACAGCGCAUAGAGUAACUGUUAUGCGUGUGACGGUAUCUAACCAGAAAGCCACGGCUAACUACGUGCCAGCAGCCGCGGUAAUACGUAGGUGGCAAGCGUUGUCCGGAUUUAUUGGGCGUAAAGCGAGCGCAGGCGGUCAAUUAAGUCUGAUGUGAAAGCCCCCGGCUCAACCGGGGAGGGUCAUUGGAAACUGGUUGACUUGAGUGCAGAAGAGGAGAGUGGAAUUCCAUGUGUAGCGGUGAAAUGCGUAGAUAUAUGGAGGAACACCAGUGGCGAAGGCGACUCUCUGGUCUGUAACUGACGCUGAGGCUCGAAAGCGUGGGUAGCAAACAGGAUUAGAUACCCUGGUAGUCCACGCCGUAAACGAUGAGUGCUAAGUGUUGGAGGGUUUCCGCCCUUCAGUGCUGCAGUUAACGCAUUAAGCACUCCGCCUGGGGAGUACGACCGCAAGGUUGAAACUCAAAGGAAUUGACGGGGACCCGCACAAGCGGUGGAGCAUGUGGUUUAAUUCGAAGCAACGCGAAGAACCUUACCAAGUCUUGACAUCCUUUGACCACUCUAGAGAUAGAGCUUUCCCUUCGGGGACAAAGUGACAGGUGGUGCAUGGUUGUCGUCAGCUCGUGUCGUGAGAUGUUGGGUUAAGUCCCGCAACGAGCGCAACCCUUAUUACUAGUUGCCAGCAUUAAGUUGGGCACUCUAGUGAGACUGCCGGUGACAAACCGGAGGAAGGUGGGGAUGACGUCAAAUCAUCAUGCCCCUUAUGACUUGGGCUACACACGUGCUACAAUGGAUGGUACAACGAGCAGCGAACUCGCGAGGGUAAGCGAAUCUCUUAAAGCCAUUCUCAGUUCGGAUUGUAGGCUGCAACUCGCCUACAUGAAGCCGGAAUCGCUAGUAAUCGCGGAUCAGCCAUGCUACGGUGAAUACGUUCCCGGGUCU
Molecule: ribosomal RNA, 1287 nt
Filed under: uncultured bacterium
Lineage: Bacteria
Description: bacterial SSU rRNA
Rfam family: Bacterial small subunit ribosomal RNA
Source: RNAcentral